CUAUAAAUAUUUAUUUGUUUUCUUGUCAAAGUUUAAAGGAAUAACAGUUACACUGAGAUUUUUGGUUUGAUAUUAGUAGCAUUUAGAGAGUUUCUCUUUGUUUUCUUGAAAAGUUAUUACAAUAGACAUAGUUCCUGUAUUCCAUUAUUUUGAACCAGCCUCCAAAUUUCGGUUUGAUUCAGCAAAUUUCGGCAGUCUGGUUGGGACAUUCUUACUCUUUAUUCUUUUGAGCAUACACGCAACCCAAAGUGCAUCAUUCCUGUUAAACCAGAAAGUUUGAAGCACAUCAUCAUGGGAAUAAGAUUCCAUAGCUGCUUUUAUAUUUUAAAGAACCUUUGAUCAUUCACAUAUAUUUCUUGUUUUCCUGUUAUUAUUUUAUUUUCCCUUGUAAAGCAUGCACUGAGCUACCAAAAUGUUUGAUAGAGAUUGGUUUAGUUGAUCAUGAAUUCCAUUGGGUUAUCCGGAAAAAAAAAAAGGACACAUAUAUAGGAAUGAGGAAUAGUAAAUAUAAUUCCACUCAAAGUUGCUCAAGAAAUAAUUUUAGAUCUGUUAUAAUGCAAAUGCUGUAGCAAAAAAGAAUCCUUUGUGCUAUUGCAAGUAUAAAGUCUUAUGAGCACCCUCAUUCUAAAAUUAUGCAAGUAUAUUAGUAAAAUAUACUGUCAAACAACUCCCACUCGCAUAUAGGCUUGGAUUUUAAAUUGAAAGUUUUUUGUCCUUGACAACUAAUUGUUUUCUUGAGAUGACUUGUGGGUAUUCUCACACAAAAGUUAGCUAUGGUAAUUUCAUUAUGUAUUUGUUCUUUCAUGGCUGCAGUUUUCCAACAUAUUAGCACUUCCAGAUGAAAAAGGCUGAUAAAAUGAAAUUAUUGCAGAUGAGGAAGAUCAUAUCAUAGCUGCGGCCCAUGCAGUUCAUGGAAAUAAAUGGGCAGUAAUUGCAAGACUUCUACCAGGUAGAACAGAUAAUGCUAUUAAGAACCAUUGGAAUUCUACUCUAAGACGGAGAAGCACAGAGCGUGAGAGGUUAAGGUUGGCGUCUGGAAAUGUGGACCAAGAUGCUACCUUGGACAAAGCCAAAGCAUCAUCUGAAGAAACUCUGUCUUGUGGGGAUGCAAAUUCAUUUAAAUCUUUUGAAGGAAAAGACGGAAGCUCUUUGGAUAAUAUGAAUGAUCAGUGUGAAGAAAAAGCACCAUUAGAGGUUCCAUCAAAUAAUGAAGCAAAAGAAUCAUCUACGCUUUUCCGUCCCAGGGCACGUGUUAGUGCAUUCAGUGUUUAUAAUCCUGUGGACGGCCCAGAAAUUGCUUCACCGUGUUCAAGGCCAGUUCCAAUGGUAGGACCUUUGAUUCAAGCUUCAAUACCAGAUGAUGGAAUUUGCAAAUUGCUUGAUGGGAUUUACAAUGAGCGGUUGGUUCCUCAGCAGUGUGGCCAUGGCUGUUGUGAGGCCCAAAAUGGUAAUAAUCCUCGGAAUUCUUUGUUGGGUCCAGAAUUUGUGGAUUUCCUAGAUCCCCCAUCUUUUCCAAGUUUUGAGUUGGCUGCCAUAGCAACAGAUAUAAGUAACCUUGCUUGGCUCAAAAGUGGAUUGGAGAAUAACAGUGUCAGAGUCAUGGGUGACACUGCUGGCAGAAUAGCACCCUAUGGAUCUCAAGCGCAAAUGGGGCAUCUUUAAGAAAGCAGGGUGAGUGGUAAUUUCCUUAUUGACAAGGGAAAGCAAGUUAAUGGGUGUCGCAACCAACAUGAUAUGAUCAUAGAUUGGUAGCCCUUUUCAUUUUGCACUGGUUAUCAUCAGGGUUUUGGAUUGAGGUGAACAAUGGCAUCUCCAUGUUUAACUGGGGUUGCUAAAAGACAACAUAUUUAUAAGAAGGAUAUAUACUGAGCUAGGUAUUAUAUUGUCGAAAGAGCUAGAUCUUCCCCCCAUCAGAAACUUCCCAUUUAUAUUUAAAAACGUCGGAAGAAAGAAGAGAAAGUUGCAACAGAUCUUUCUGUCGUAUUUUACUUAUCUUGGGUGCCUAAGUUUGUCCCUCCCCAAUGGAAGAAUGACAGCAUUAUUAUUAUUAUUAUUAUUA
Molecule: unclassified non-coding RNA, 2059 nt
Filed under: Hevea brasiliensis (rubber tree)
Lineage: Eukaryota; Viridiplantae; Streptophyta; Magnoliopsida; Malpighiales; Euphorbiaceae
Source: RNAcentral